Molecule: long non-coding RNA, 211 nt
Organism: Anguilla anguilla (European eel)
Lineage: Eukaryota; Metazoa; Chordata; Actinopteri; Anguilliformes; Anguillidae
Exons: 2
Source: RefSeq, a predicted model, not a curated record
UUCUGCUUAGUCACCAGGACUCGUUUAUGCCUACGCUGAGGUUAUUUCCUGUUCAUGUGAUGCGCGGUGGGCAUCUAUUGAAAUUCACACUGGAUCGCACGUCUGCCAAAUUAAAUAUCAAUAAUUUAUGGAUUCUUCGGGGACACAAGGGUGCUGACCUGAUGUACGUCAAGACUCAUAAAUCCCAGUGUGCAAGGAGAGGACAAGUUAA